AUUAAUAACGCAAGCAGUCAGGUGAAACAAUCAGAUGUUACUAGCCCUUCAAAGUCACAAUGCACUAAAGUGGACUUCUUAAAGAUAAAACUACUUAGUACUUCAGUGUCUUGAAAAUGGUCUGUUUGUAAGUUUUCUUGAGUCCCCAAUGCAUAAAGCUUACAUCCUUUCCCCAGUUUCUCAUUAAUCAUAACCUUAUUUCAUAAUUAAAAGCUCAAAGUGUACUUUAAGAAAUGUAUGGAUAUUUUAUCUGAACUGCCUGACUGCCAGAUAUAUGAAAAGGAAAACUCUGUUCAGGGCUAACUCAUCCGUGCUCGAUUUGACCAUGUGGCUUUCCCUGAAGAUGUAAAUGGUGACUAAUCCUUUUAUUUAUCUGAAAUGCUUACACUUAAAACAUGAUUUUUUCAAACACAUUAAUAUGAAUGAAUCUGGCUUGGUGAAUCAGUAAUAAAUGUCAUACUAAGGAAAUUGAAUCUCAAGAGAUACAAUGAAUAAUUAAGUACUUGCAGGAAACUCAUCUGUUUUUCCAUUUAUGCACAGGCGAUUUACAUGCAAAGCUCCUACUGAAGCUACUUGUAAGUUAACAUUGACCAGCUACAACAAUACAGAAAAUUAGAGUGCUGAAGAAAGUAGCAUUUUCCAGCUGCUAAAACUUUGCAGGUACCAAAGGCAGAGAAAGUGCCUUCAGAAUUUGCCUUAAUAGUCAACUCUACAAUUAGCUCAGCUGGCAGACUCUUUCCUGCUGGGAGCUGGAAGGAGCCUAAGCAUUAUAGAGAGGUCAGAAACAAAUACCUUUUAAUAUGGCAACUCUUAUUAAAAACAAAAAAAGGCAUAAGAAAGAAAAAUAAAAAAGCAAUGAAGCAAUGUAGGCUGGACCCCUAUGAUUUUCAAAUAAAUAUAAUUUAUUUUUA
Molecule: long non-coding RNA, 911 nt
Organism: Pezoporus occidentalis (night parrot)
Lineage: Eukaryota; Metazoa; Chordata; Aves; Psittaciformes; Psittacidae
Exons: 2
Source: RefSeq, a predicted model, not a curated record